This 105-nucleotide ribosomal RNA is filed under the name uncultured bacterium. Its description in RNAcentral is "partial 16S ribosomal RNA". It matches the Rfam family "Bacterial small subunit ribosomal RNA", at positions 1369 to 1482 of the family's 1533-position model. The record is from RNAcentral.
CGUUCCCGGACCUUGUACACACCGCCCGUCAAGCCAUGGAAGCUGGGAGGACCUGAGGACAGUUGCUGUAAGGCGCUGUUUAGGGUUAAACCGAUGACUGGGGCU